CCUACGGGAGGCAGCAGUGGGGAAUUUUGGACAAUGGGCGCAAGCCUGAUCCAGCAAUGCCGCGUGCAGGAUGAAGGCCUUCGGGUUGUAAACUGCUUUUGUACGGAACGAAAAAGUCUGCCCUAAUACGGUGGGCCCAUGACGGUACCGUAAGAAUAAGCACCGGCUAACUACGUGCCAGCAGCCGCGGUAAUACGUAGGGUGCGAGCGUUAAUCGGAAUUACUGGGCGUAAAGCGUGCGCAGGCGGUUAUAUAAGACAGAUGUGAAAUCCCCGGGCUCAACCUGGGACCUGCAUUUGUGACUGUAUAGCUAGAGUACGGUAGAGGGGGAUGGAAUUCCGCGUGUAGCAGUGAAAUGCGUAGAUAUGCGGAGGAACACCGAUGGCGAAGGCAAUCCCCUGGACCUGUACUGACGCUCAUGCACGAAAGCGUGGGGAGCAAACAGGAUUAGAUACCCUGGUAGUCCACGCCCUAAACGAUGUCAACUGGUUGUUGGGUCUUCACUGACUCAGUAACGAAGCUAACGCGUGAAGUUGACCGCCUGGGGAGGUACGGCCGCGAGUAGAACGUACAANAGAGUAGACGCGUGAGACGUGACCGACGGACGACGACGAGGGAGGAGG
RNAcentral lists this ribosomal RNA (623 nucleotides) under uncultured bacterium. RNAcentral describes it as "bacterial SSU rRNA". The stretch from base 1 to 542 matches the Rfam family "Bacterial small subunit ribosomal RNA", at positions 338 to 873 of the family's 1533-position model. The record is from RNAcentral.